RNA transcript from Pezoporus flaviventris, 3472 nucleotides. It is a transcript of the gene named chromosome unknown C7orf25 homolog, with no coding region annotated. The record is from RefSeq and is a predicted model, not a curated record. The transcript has 4 exons. NCBI's taxonomy places the organism in Eukaryota, Metazoa, Chordata, Aves, Psittaciformes, Psittacidae.
CUGCCAGGGGCGAGGGGCUGGUGCUGCCGGGCUGAAUAAUGUUUCCAACAUGUCUGUGCAGACGCUGCUUUGUGAAAGAAUUGAUCUUGCCAAAGAAUUGAUCAAGAGAGCAGAAGCCCUUUCCAGGUCCCAGAAAAGGAGAAUAGAAGGUGGGGCAAAAUUGUGCAGCAAACUGAAGGCUGAGCUAAACUUCUUACCCAAGGUAGAAGCAGGGAAGGUGGCCAUUAAAGAAUCCCAUCUGCAAAGUACAAACCUUACCCAUCUCCAGGCUGUUAUUCAGUCAGCGGAGAACCUGGAGGAUGUUGUCAGUGUCCUCCAUGUCUUUGCUUAUGAGGACAGGUUUGGAGACAAGCAGACGCUCGUGGUGGAUGUUGUUGCAAACGGAGGUCACACAUGGGUGAAGGCCAUCGGCCGUAAGGCUGAGGCUCUGCAUAACAUCUGGCUGGGGAGAGGCCAGUAUGGUGACAAAAGCAUCAUUGAGCAGGCAGAGGACUUCUUGCAAGCAAGCCAUCAGCAGCCAGUGGAGUACUGCAAUCCCCACAUAAUCUUUGCCUUCUACAACAGUGUGUCCAGUCCUAUGGCAGAGCGGCUCAAGGAGAUGGGAAUAUCUGUGCGAGGAGACAUUGUAGCUGUGAACUCACUGGCAGAGCCAUCCACAGAAAACCAGCACCUUAGCACCAGUGAAUCGGAUGAAGAAGGCCCUGAACUCCUACAGGUGACCAGAGUAGACCGGGAGAAUUUAGUGGCCAGAGUUGCUUUUCCUACCCAGAUUAAAGUAAACAUGUGCAAUAGAGUUAACUUGGACAUCACUACCUUAAUAACCUACGUCUCUGCUCUGAGCUAUGGUGGCUGCAACUUCAUCUUCAAAGAGAAAGUGCUGACAGAGCAAGCAGCUCAGGAAAGGAGGGAGAGAGUCCUGCCUCAGCUGGAGGAGUUCAUGGAGGGGAAGGAGCUCUUUGCCUGUGAGUCUGCUGUCAGAGAUUUUCAGUCCAUCUUGGAAACGCUGGGAGGACCCGGGGAGAAAGAACGAGCUGCGAUGCUUGUGAAAAGAAUUCAAGUGGUGCGAGAUCAGCCAUCUGACCGUGCCUUAGGACUAGUGGCUAGUUCAAAAAUCAACAGCCGUUCUCUAACCAUUUUUGGGACAGGAGACAAUUUAAAAGCCAUCACCAUGACUGCAAAUAGGGGUUUUGUGAGGGCAGCAGCUAACCAAGGUGUCAGGUUCAGUGUUUUUGUCCAUCAGCCACGGGCAUUGACAGAAAGCAAGGAAUCUGUUGCCACACCUUUACCAAAGAGCUGCCCACCUGGUAAUGGACUAUAAGUCAUUGAAUGAGUCAUUGGAAUGCUGCAGGGGAGGCAUUUGGGGAAACAAGAAUCCUAGCAAUGCAUUUUUGGGUGUGCAUCAGUGAAAGCAGUGACUGUAGCAAUGGAAGGGCUCCUCAAGGAAUUUUCAGUAUCCUUACUCAGCCCUGGGGGGAUAUUUUGUUCAGCUGACCAUUAAUUUAUUCGCUAAGGAGAGAAUUGCAUUUUGAGAAGUCUUUCUAAUGUGUUUCUGUAUGCAGUAAUGACAGGAGUUGCUGUUUGGUAUGAAAUUGCAUCAGGUUCCUAGCAGAAAAUAUUGAGAUGCCAAAGUGAAUUCUUGGUCCCAAUCUAUACAUUUUAUCAGAUGUUCUACAUGACCUUGAGAGAGCUGGAUGGGGCUGAUUCUGCACUGGAAGUCAAUGGACUGUAUUCAACAAAGACAUGAGGACUGAAACUGCAUCUUUCCCGUGCCUCCUGUCUCUUCACUUGUAACAAGAGGCUAACAGUGUGCUCCUUCCUCCUUGGGGUGCAGCAAAGAUAAAUCACAUGGUAUUUGCAAUGAUUCUGCUAUCAGGAAGUGUGGGCUGCUUCUGCUUGAAUCUGUGGAGACUCCUAAGAGCGAAGUCUUUGCUCUGCUUGUGGAUUAGCCAGCAGAGGGCAACAUCACUCUCGCGCAUGAAAACUGCAUCCCCUGCUUGAGCCAAAACCUGCCAGACACAAGAGGAAUCUUUUCCUUAGCCUUUAUAGCUCUUUAUAAAUGCAGAUUUUUACUGUUUUUCAAUAUUAGCCUUGCAAUGAAACGGCAGUGUGUGAGCACUCCCAUGGCACUGUUAGCAGCUAGCCUUAGAAAAAAAGCUUCAAAACCUUCCAGUGCUGGGCAGAAACACAACAGUCAUUUUUAUUUUGUUAGUGGUUGAUACAGUGCUAAUAUCCAUAACAGCAGUGACUGUGUGGUGCUUUGAAUGCUGUAUGGCUUUGGUUAACUUUUAUCAUUCUUAUCUAUUUAUUUCAUAGUUGACCUAAGGGUGUUUGAGGUGCAUGUCCCAGGACCUGGAAAAGAAAGAGAUCAGGUGGAUCCUCACCUCAUGGAAGUCAAUGGCAGCAAUUUUCUUUUGUUUUCAUGGGAUCAGAACUGCACCUGAUCCUUCCCUUGAAGCCCAUAGCUGUCAAGGUCCUUCUGGACAGACCCAUAUUGUGGUGCUUAAGCUCUUGCCCUUGUCUUAUGGAUGGACCCUGGAACUGGCCGAUGACUUUGCCUCAUCUGAGGCUGUUGAUGGUAUUCAUUGCUAUGACCACCUGCCUCUGCCCCAUGGUCAGGCCCUGCAGGACUGCAUCCUGUCAGUGAAGGCAUAGCUUGUGCUGGGUCAUCUGUGGGUCAUGGCACAGCCCUGUGCCUGCUGCUCCCUGACACUGCUCCUGCAGAGACUGAAUUUAUGCCCUGUGAGAAAUCCCCAAGGAGAAAUUCAGAUCAAACCAUUUAGAGCGAUCGAAGUGAACAAGGGGGUUAUAAUAAAUCUUUGCAGGAUCCCAGGUCUCUAAUGCCAAAAUGUGCAAUCCUGGAAACAGAAACAGUUGUAUGCAGCUUAACUGAGUGGUAAUGCAGCUCUUACACCCACAGGAAGCUGGCCUGUUAGACGUCCAGAUCUACUAAAGAAAGGGCUAGUCCUCAGCCUUGUGCAGAGCAACUUAAAAUGUUAGCACUUGAACUCAAAAAGAAUAAGAAUUGAAACCAGAAAUAUCCAGACAAUCCCACUUCCCUUUAUAGUGCUUGGAAUUUAGGAAAUCAAGUGGAUUUUAAGCUAACUUCAUGAUUUAUUGCAGUUUAUUUCCUGAUGCUUGAAUGCCUGUGACUACCCAGACAUGGGAGAUGACAGGUAGUGAUAGUUUUUGUUCACUGUGAAGCAAAAGGGGCUAACUUCAGUGGGUUUUCUAUUGAGCUCUAUGUAUCCAAACAACGAAUGCAUAGAAACACUGGUAUUUAAAUUUGAAAUCCUGGUGGGGAAGCAGCCCUCCCCAGGGUACUUAUCUGUAGAUUAACAAUUUCUUCCCAUUUUAUAUUCUCUUCCUUUUUUUUUCCCCCCAUUUAUUCUUUAAGAAGUACAGUCCUCAGAAAGACUGGGAAUUUCUUUGAGAAGUUGUUAAUACCAGAUGCAAAUACACGUGUAAAAACUCA